Molecule: ribosomal RNA, 802 nt
Filed under: uncultured crenarchaeote
Lineage: Archaea; Thermoproteati; Thermoproteota
Description: bacterial SSU rRNA
Rfam family: Archaeal small subunit ribosomal RNA
Source: RNAcentral
GCCAUGCGAGUCACAUAGCAAUAUGUGGCAUACGGCUCAGUAACACGUAGUCAACAUGCCCAGGGGACGUGGAUAACCUCGGGAAACUGAGGAUAAACCACGAUAGGUCAUCACUUCUGGAAUGGGUAAUGACUUAAAUCUAUAUGGCCCCUGGAUUGGACUGCGGCCGAUCAGGCUGUUGGUGAGGUAAUGGCCCACCAAACCUGUAACCGGUACGGGCUCUGAGAGGAGGAGCCCGGAGAUGGGCACUGAGACAAGGGCCCAGGCCCUAUGGGGCGCAGCAGGCGCGAAACCUCUGCAAUAGGCGAAAGCUUGACAGGGUUACUCUGAGUGAUUUCCGUUAAGGAGAUCUUUUGGCACCUCUAAAAAUGGUGCAGAAUAAGGGGUGGGCAAGUCUGGUGUCAGCCGCCGCGGUAAUACCAGCACCCCGAGUGGUCGGGACGUUUAUUGGGCCUAAAGCAUCCGUAGCCGGUUCUACAAGUCUUCCGUUAAAUCCACCUGCUUAACAGAUGGGCUGCGGAAGAUACUAUAGAGCUAGGAGGCGGGAGAGGCAAGCGGUACUCGAUGGGUAGGGGUAAAAUCCGUUGAUCCAUUGAAGACCACCAGUGGCGAAGGCGGCUUGCCAGAACGCGCUCGACGGUGAGGGAUGAAAGCUGGGGGAGCAAACUGGACUAGAUACCCGGGUAGUCCCAGCUGUAAACGAUGCAGACUCGGUGAUGAGUUGGCUUAUUGCUAACUCAGUGCCGCAGGGAAGCCGUUAAGUUUGCCGCCUGGGGAGUACGGUCGCAAGACUGAAACUUAA